UACGGAGGGGGCUAGCGUUGUUCGGAAUUACUGGGCGUAAAGCGCACGUAGGCGGCUUUGUAAGUUAGAGGUGAAAGCCCGGGGCUCAACUCCGGAAUUGCCUUUAAGACUGCAUCGCUAGAAUUGUGGAGAGGUAAGUGGAAUUCCGAGUGUAGAGGUGAAAUUCGUAGAUAUGGGGAGGAACACCGGUGGCGAAGGCGGCCACCUGGACGGAUACUGACGCUGAGACGCGAAAGCGUGGGGAGCAAACAGG
This 253-nucleotide ribosomal RNA is filed under the name uncultured bacterium. RNAcentral describes it as "partial 16S ribosomal RNA". It matches the Rfam family "Bacterial small subunit ribosomal RNA", at positions 524 to 776 of the family's 1533-position model. The record is from RNAcentral.